RNAcentral lists this non-coding RNA (31 nucleotides) under Rattus norvegicus (Norway rat). The record is from RNAcentral. Lineage: Eukaryota; Metazoa; Chordata; Mammalia; Rodentia; Muridae.
AUUGCUCUGUAAUACUGCUUGAGUUCAGGGA